GCCAAGGUGAGGAGCUGGCCAAGGUGAGGAGCUGGCCAAGGUGAGGAGCUGGCCAAGGUGAGGAGCUGGCCAAGGUGAGGAGCUGGCCAAGGUGAGGGUUGGCCAAGGUGAGGAGCUGGCCAAGGUGAGGAGCUGGCCAAGGUGAGGAGCUGGCGGAGCUGAGGGCUGCCUGGGAGGUGGAGCUGCCUUCCGAGUGUGUGAGAUCUUGUUUGCAUUGAUGGAGCUGAUCAUGGUGUGUUUUCUGGAGCACUGUACCUGGAAUCUCUGGAUUGGUUAUGGAGACAGGAAAGGAGAGGAGCUACAGGGCUUUGUAGAGCCAUGGAGUGUCCUGGGUAGUGAGGAUCAUCCAGUCCAAACCCUGUCCCUGCACAGACACCCCAGCAA
Serinus canaria (Common canary) is the source of this 384-nucleotide long non-coding RNA. RefSeq lists it as uncharacterized. The record is from RefSeq and is a predicted model, not a curated record. Lineage: Eukaryota; Metazoa; Chordata; Aves; Passeriformes; Fringillidae. The transcript is spliced from 4 exons.